UAGGGAAUCUUCGGCAAUGGACGAAAGUCCGACCGAGCAACGCCGCGUGAGUGAAGAAGGUUUUCGGAUCGUAAAACUCUGUUGUUAGAGAAGAACAGGGACGUUAGUAACUGAACGUCCCCUGACGGUAUCUAACCAGAAAGCCACGGCUAACUACGUGCCAGCAGCCGCGGUAAUACGUAGGUGGCAAGCGUUGUCCGGAUGUAUUGGGCGUAAAGCGAGCGCAGGCGGUUUCUUAAGUCUGAUGUGAAAGCCCCCGGCUCAACCGGGGAGGGUCAUUGGAAACUGGGAGACUUGAGUGCAGAAGAGGAGGGUGGAAUUCCAUGUGUAGCGGUGAAAUGCGUAGAUAUAUGGAGGAACACCAGUGGCGAAGGCGGCUCUCUGGUCUGUAACUGACGCUGAGGCUCGAAAGCGUGGGGAGCAAACAGG
This 429-nucleotide ribosomal RNA is filed under the name Gemmatimonadota bacterium. Its description in RNAcentral is "Gemmatimonadetes bacterium partial 16S ribosomal RNA". It matches the Rfam family "Bacterial small subunit ribosomal RNA", at positions 355 to 776 of the family's 1533-position model. Lineage: Bacteria; Pseudomonadati; Gemmatimonadota. The record is from RNAcentral.